UACGGAGGGCGCAAGCGUUGUUCGGGAUCACUGGGCGUAAAGCGCGUGUAUGCGGCCGGGCAAGUCGGAUGUGAAAUCCCGAGGCCCAACCUCGGAACUGCAUUCGAAACUGCCCGGCUCGAGUCCCGGAGAGGAUGGCGGAAUUCCCGGUGUAGGGGUGAAAUCCGUAGAUAUCGGGAGGAACACCAGUGGCGAAGGCGGCCAUCUGGACGGUGACUGACGCUGAGACGCGAAAGCGUGGGGAGCAAACAGG
This 253-nucleotide ribosomal RNA is filed under the name uncultured bacterium. RNAcentral describes it as "partial 16S ribosomal RNA". It matches the Rfam family "Bacterial small subunit ribosomal RNA", at positions 524 to 776 of the family's 1533-position model. The record is from RNAcentral.